UCAGACGGUCGGAUGGCCGCCCCCUGGCAAGCAGCGGACGUGGUUCGCGAGGCUACCAGGCGGGAGGAAAGUCCGGGCUCCACGGAAAUACGGUGCCGGGUAACGCCCGGCGGGGGCGACCCCAGGGAAAGUGCCACAGAAAGCAAACCACCUGCCGGGGUCCGACCGCAUAUGGGAUUUCAUGGGACACCCCUAUGGGAUUUCAUGGGACGGGCCUGCAGGCCAGGAUGAAAGGGUGCGGUAAGAGCGCACCGCGCGCACGGCGACGUGAGCGGCAAGGUAAACCCCACCGGGAGCAAAACUAUGUAGGGACGGUAGGUUUCUGUUGGCUUGUCCGACAGGAAUCAGGCGGAUUUUCGCGUCGCCGUCCGGGUAAGUUGCGCGAGGCGCCCGGCAACGGGCGUCCCAGAUGAAUGGCCAUCCAUCCGCGGAAACGCGGGGGACAGAACCCGGCUUACAGAUCGUCUGACACC
Molecule: RNase P RNA, 473 nt
Filed under: Denitrobaculum tricleocarpae
Lineage: Bacteria; Pseudomonadati; Pseudomonadota; Alphaproteobacteria; Rhodospirillales; Rhodospirillaceae
Description: Bacterial RNase P class A
Rfam family: Bacterial RNase P class A
About the family: Ribonuclease P (RNase P) is a ubiquitous endoribonuclease, found in archaea, bacteria and eukarya as well as chloroplasts and mitochondria. Its best characterised activity is the generation of mature 5'-ends of tRNAs by cleaving the 5'-leader elements of precursor-tRNAs.
Source: Rfam by way of RNAcentral